UGCAAGCGUUGUCCGGAUUUAUUGGGCGUAAAGAGUUCGUAGGCGGUUUGUCGCGUCUGCUGUGAAAACCUGGGGCUUAACCCCGGGCCUGCAGUGGGUACGGGCAGACUAGAGUGUGGUAGGGGAGACUGGAAUUCCUGGUGUAGCGGUGAAAUGCGCAGAUAUCAGGAGGAACACCGGUGGCGAAGGCGGAUCUCUGGGCCAUAACUGACGCUGAGGAGCGAAAGCGUGGGGAGCGAACAGG
This 244-nucleotide ribosomal RNA is filed under the name uncultured bacterium. RNAcentral's name for it is "partial 16S ribosomal RNA". It matches the Rfam family "Bacterial small subunit ribosomal RNA", at positions 533 to 776 of the family's 1533-position model. The record is from RNAcentral.